AUACGUAGGGAGCAAGCGUUGUCCGGAUUUACUGGGUGUAAAGGGUGCGUAGGCGGCUCUGCAAGUCAGGCGUGAAAUAUAUGGGCUUAACCCAUAGACUGCGUUUGAAACUGUGGAGCUUGAGUGAAGUAGAGGUAGGCGGAAUUCCCGGUGUAGCGGUGAAAUGCGUAGAGAUCGGGAGGAACACCAGUGGCGAAGGCGGCCUACUGGGCUUUAACUGACGCUGAGGCACGAAAGCAUGGGUAGC
RNAcentral lists this ribosomal RNA (247 nucleotides) under uncultured bacterium. RNAcentral describes it as "partial 16S ribosomal RNA". It matches the Rfam family "Bacterial small subunit ribosomal RNA", at positions 523 to 769 of the family's 1533-position model. The record is from RNAcentral.